AUUGUUGAACUAGAAGAUGCAUUAUAUUAUAACCCAGCAGAGACUUAAAAAGUCGACAUUCAUUUUGGCCCAGCGGUUGCUGUAAACACAGUACAACUACAGCAAGAGCAAGAGCUGGGGCCUGGCGGGAACAUAACAGUUUGCGUAUUUUCCACCUUCAUUAUCAAGCUACUGUGACAGCAAGUCAAAGAUUUUCAAAGCCAUCCCAGCCACUGUCCUGUCUCCCAACAAGUGCCAAGAGGCACUGAUUCAAUACUUCGCUGCCGCAGCCUAUAGGUGAAUGUUCUAGGUGAGAUUGGAGGGAUGAACACUGAUGAAUAUGUGAAGUGAGUAAUGAAGUUCAUAAUAAGUGACACACUGACCACAAAACUGAACAUGUCUUGAAGGAACAACAAGAAGGCAUUUGGCUCCACAAACUUAUU
Molecule: long non-coding RNA, 422 nt
Organism: Eriocheir sinensis (Chinese mitten crab)
Lineage: Eukaryota; Metazoa; Arthropoda; Malacostraca; Decapoda; Varunidae
Exons: 3
Source: RefSeq, a predicted model, not a curated record